GUGUGCUAAGCGGGGAGUUAGCGGUGCCCUGUAACCCACAACCCGCUCAGUGGGGCUGAAUUCCUCCUGAAGGUGCACUCUUUCUCAGAAGGUUCUUAAGAGGGAAAGAUGACGGAAGGAAGCCAGGAAACUUAGAGGUUACGAACCCCGCCAGGUCCGGAAGGAAGCAACGGUAAGUAAUUCUCUAAGUGUUCCCUGGUGACUCUUUCCCGAUUUUCUUCUUAGGAAAGACCUGAGGGGGAGUGUAUCGUAGGGAGGUGCACAC
RNAcentral lists this signal recognition particle RNA (265 nucleotides) under Caldisericota bacterium. Its description in RNAcentral is "Caldiserica bacterium signal recognition particle sRNA large type". It matches the Rfam family "Bacterial large signal recognition particle RNA". From Rfam's summary of the family: The signal recognition particle (SRP) is a universally conserved ribonucleoprotein involved in the co-translational targeting of proteins to membranes. Archaeal SRP consists of a 7S RNA and homologues of the eukaryotic SRP19 and SRP54 proteins. Lineage: Bacteria; Pseudomonadati; Caldisericota. The record is from RNAcentral.